Molecule: ribosomal RNA, 492 nt
Filed under: uncultured bacterium
Lineage: Bacteria
Description: partial 16S ribosomal RNA
Rfam family: Bacterial small subunit ribosomal RNA
Source: RNAcentral
AGUGAACGCUGGCGGCAGGCUUUACACAUGCAAGUCGAACGGCAGCGCAGUGAGACUUUCUUCUCUGCGGUCGCGUGUCGAGCGUGGGAGUGAUACACCUCGGCAUCUCCAUAUUCGGGGGAUAACACCCCGAGAAAGUUACUAUUACCGCGUAUAUGCUCAACAGGUGAGCGCAGGACCUCUUCAUACCCUUCGCGCUUGUAUGACCGGAUGUCGGAUUUGCUAGUUGGGGGGGUAAAGGCCCACCAAGGCGCGGAUAUGUAGCUGGUCUGAGAGGAUGAUCAGCCACACUGGAACUGAGACACGGACCAGACUCCUACGGGAGGCAGCAGUGGGGAAUAUUGGACAAUGGGGGCAAGCCUGAUCCAGCCAUGCCGCGUGGAUGAAGAAGGCCUUCGGGUUGUAAAGCACUUUUGUUAGGGAAGAAAAGCAACAGGUGAAUACUGGCCGAUACUGACGGUACCUAAAGAAUAAGCACCGGCUAACUACGUG